This 279-nucleotide unclassified non-coding RNA is filed under the name Melitaea cinxia (Glanville fritillary). RNAcentral describes it as "misc RNA ENSMCXG00005015772.1". The record is from RNAcentral. Lineage: Eukaryota; Metazoa; Arthropoda; Insecta; Lepidoptera; Nymphalidae.
AAUUUCUCAUCAACAGAAACGAAUUAAGUUCAAACAGCAGGUAAUUGCUAUAAAUUGUUGAAGAGUUCCCUCGACUAUCUUUCUUCUCCAUCAUCAGAUCGACUCCAGACCUUUAUUAAAUAGUAGUGCUUUAUAGUACUUAAUGAAAACAUGAUUAAAUUUACUAGUCACCCUUACGAUUUUUGAAAGUUUCCCUCGAUUUCUCUGGGAUCCCAUCAUCAGACCCUGGUUUCCUUAUCAUGGUACCAAACUAUGAAUAUCUCCUUUCCAACAAAAAAA